UCACAAAGGGAUAGCUGAUGUUUAAAGCAAUAUGUGCUAUGGUAUGUUAAGUGCUAUGAAUAUGAGUCUAUGUUGGGUUAAUGAAGUAAGUUGUUAUAAAGAUAGCAGAUAUUUAUCUGAAUAUUGGUUAAUAUAGUAAACCAAGUUUCAAAAUUUAAUAUUUUGGAAUACAUGAUUAUUUGAGUAGAAAAUUUUGUGUUAUAUGUUGAACGUAUACGAUGAGGCUUAGAAUGUAAGGAAAUGAAGAAUAAUUUACGAUUAUGUCACCGAGACGAAAAACGAAAACCAGCCGCGGAAGAUCAACCAGAUAAUCGAACGUCGAACGCCAAAGACUUUAAGGCAAUCAUAUUGCUAGGGUAUAGAGGAUUAAGUGACUCA
Molecule: long non-coding RNA, 378 nt
Filed under: Panax ginseng (ginseng)
Lineage: Eukaryota; Viridiplantae; Streptophyta; Magnoliopsida; Apiales; Araliaceae
Description: long non-coding RNA (PGIN_LNC012777)
Source: RNAcentral